RNAcentral lists this ribosomal RNA (745 nucleotides) under uncultured bacterium. Its description in RNAcentral is "bacterial SSU rRNA". It matches the Rfam family "Bacterial small subunit ribosomal RNA", at positions 33 to 773 of the family's 1533-position model. The record is from RNAcentral.
ACGCUGGCGGCAGGCCUAACACAUGCAAGUCGAGCGGUAGAGAGAAGCUUGCUUCUCUUGAGAGCGGCGGACGGGUGAGUAAUGCCUAGGAAUCUGCCUGGUAGUGGGGGAUAACGUUCGGAAACGGACGCUAAUACCGCAUACGUCCUACGGGAGAAAGCAGGGGACCUUCGGGCCUUGCGCUAUCAGAUGAGCCUAGGUCGGAUUAGCUAGUUGGUGGGGUAAUGGCUCACCAAGGCGACGAUCCGUAACUGGUCUGAGAGGAUGAUCAGUCACACUGGAACUGAGACACGGUCCAGACUCCUACGGGAGGCAGCAGUGGGGAAUAUUGGACAAUGGGCGAAAGCCUGAUCCAGCCAUGCCGCGUGUGUGAAGAAGGUCUUCGGAUUGUAAAGCACUUUAAGUUGGGAGGAAGGGUUGUAGAUUAAUACUCUGCAAUUUUGACGUUACCGACAGAAUAAGCACCGGCUAACUCUGUGCCUGCAGCCGCGGUAAUACAGAGGGUGCAAGCGUUAAUCGGAAUUACUGGGCGUAAAGCGCGCGUAGGUGGUUAGUUAAGUUGGAUGUGAAAUCCCCGGGCUCAACCUGGGAACUGCAUUCAAAACUGACUGACUAGAGUAUGGUAGAGGGUGGUGGAAUUUCCUGUGUAGCGGUGAAAUGCGUAGAUAUAGGAAGGAACACCAGUGGCGAAGGCGACCACCUGGACUGAUACUGACACUGAGGUGCGAAAGCGUGGGGAGCAAAC